GAUUUUUCAGAAACAGAGCUUUCUAAAGUUU
This is a non-coding RNA of Colius striatus (speckled mousebird), 31 nucleotides long. Lineage: Eukaryota; Metazoa; Chordata; Aves; Coliiformes; Coliidae. The record is from Rfam.